GGCAUAAUAAACAUUACACACACACAAAUGCAUACAAGACAGAGAUAUAUAGAGCGAGGCAAUCAUCAUGUAGCUAAGAGGGGAAGAGAGUUUUCAUAUAAAAUGUCAAAAAUUGAAGAAAGAUUCAAAUAGAGCUAGUGUCAUAAGGUAACCAACCCAACAUGUAAUUAAUUGCACUUGGUCCUGCUUCCAUUCCAUGAUUUUGAUGCCCCUGAUACCUGCUACACCGUUACGGAAAGUUUUACUUAAGAUAUGCUAAAAAGAAAAUAUUUUACGUACACAGCACAAACUAGCUAGAGAUAAAAAAAUUGAUUAAUCACAUAAAGAGUGAGUUAGUUACCCCAUUUGAAGAAUGGGUUCGCAUUCCAAAGGCUGGAAGAAAGCAUGAUGAGAGUGUUGCUGUUGAUCAUGACGACCAUAGUCAACAUGACGAUCUUCUUGACUCGGGUUGAGUUGAAGUGGCAUUUGAUAUCCAUCAGCUAACUGUCACGUACAUGUACUUGUUAGCGGAAUAAUUAUUUUUUUUGAACAAAUUAGCGGAUUAAUUAAAUACUUAGUAAUUACCAAAUCAAUAAACAUUCUUGAAUUAUUGUGAAUGAUUAGGACAUUACCCUUAGCCUGAGAGUUUUAUUUGUCUCAUUUAACAUGCGUUCCUGCUCCAAAUAUUCAUAUAUAAGAGAGUGAGCUAGCUAGUAUUUUUAGAGUAUAUGUCAUUUGUUUCAUCAUUCUAUUCUUUUUUUUCUUUUAUUACCUUACUCUGGAGAUCAUUGAGCUGGUCGAGCAUGAACUGUGUCUGCAAAUUUGAUAUAGGGUCUUAAUUAAUAUAGACUUCAUAGUGGUAUAUGAUGAGAGAAAUGAAAGUAGUACCCGGAGAGCUCUGAUCUGCUUCAAAGAAGAGUCAAGCUGUCUCUCAAGUAACUCAAGCUCCUUUGUACUAAGAGGUCCAAGAUCUUCUCCCAAUAGAUUCCUAUUAUUUCAAGACAGAAGUCAUCACAAAUCCGUAAGGAAAAAACAAACUCUAGCAGUACCUUAAGGAGUUGAUUAGUUGUACCUUUGGGUUCUUUGUAAGGCUUCGUAACGCUCCUUAAGCUUAAGAUACUCCUGUUGGCUACUAAGUUCCUGCUUACCAAAAAGUUACCAUUACUGGAUUUGAAUUAACCAAAGGAAUUCAUGACUUUGUCUAAGCAUAAAAAGGUAAGGAAGAGAAGGAGGGGACGGUACAACUGCUAAGGCCUCUCUUGAAGGUACAUUGGGCUCUGGAGGUCCAUAGUUGCACUUUUGGUAUCUCUCCAGUGUCCGGAUCAUGCUGCAUCACACCAUUAACUAAUUAGUCAUUUAUCAAAAUCAACUUUUAGAAAGAAUAUCUGGGAGUAAUUUCAGAGAAGAUCUAUCUCAAUUAAGAACCCAGGGAUGAAUCUAUCUGAAGUAAAGAUCCAAUGGAUAAGAUGAAUUUGACAUUGUAAUCCCUAAGGCUUACAAAAACGGGUAGCCCUAGCUAGCUAGCUAGCUACUUGAAUCACCCCCAAAACUUUCUGAAUUUGACUGCAAAAUUGAUGAAUGAUUUGAUUUCAUAAUGUGGCAGAACUCUUUUAGAAGAGAAGAAAAUAUUAAUUAGAAAACCGUAAUUAACUAAUAUCACCACCAGAGAAAUUAACCCUAAUUUCCUAUAAGAUUAUCAAAUGCCUCUUCUGUGAUAAAUCUAAAACUCAAUGUAUCAAAUAAUAUAGAGAAUCUAAAUAUAUAUAUAUAUCAAAGCUAUUUAAUUAAUCUAGUAAAAUGAUCAGAAAUGGGUAUUCAUUUCCUCUUUGCUUUUCUUUUAAAGGAUGAAAGAAAACGUGCGACACAACAACACAUCAGAUGACACUACAACAUAUGUAACUUCUUUUGUUUACUUAUACAAAAAUCAAACCAAUAGAUAAAAAUGGAUAUAUAAACAAUACCUGGAACUACUGCAAAACUCGUACAGUUUUCCUCGAUUAGAGAAGAUGAUGAGAGCAACCUCUGCAUCACAUAGAACCGAAAGCUCGUAUGCUUUCUUCAAAAGGCCAUUUCUUCUCUUUGCAAACGUCACUUGCCUAUUGAUCUUGUUCUCUAUCCUCUUCAAUUCUACUCUCCCUCUUCCCAUUCUCCUCUUCUUUCCUUCUCUCUUCUUCUUCUCUUUUACUUUGCAAUUCCUCAUAUAUAUAUAUGAAUGAGCUUCUCUCUCCUUCUUUUUUUCUUAUUUGCUUUCUAUUUUUUCUUUUAUUUUCUAACUUUUUAAAUGUGUACAUGUAUAUCUUUGUAAAAAUGUAUCUAUAUAUCUCUAAGUACAUUAACAUUUCGUCAGCUUGACUAGUUGAAUCUUUUAACUAUAUUCUCUUUAUCUAUACCCCCUCAAUUAUUGUACUACUACUCAGUAACGAAUCCAAACUGAUUUCUGAGUGGGUGCACGUACACAGUAUAAAUUUACGAAUAAUAAUAUCUGUUUAUAUAAAAUUAGGCUAAGAAACACACUAUUUUUUAAAAUGUUAUGGGCGCAUGUGCAUACCCUCUCUCCUUACUAGCAUGUGCAUACCCUCUCUCCUUACUAGCUUCGCCCCUGCUACUACUCACAAUUUACAAAACACCACAUAGGAUUUAUGAAAAUCUUGCAAAACAUGGAAUGUUAAUUACUCUAUCACCGCUUAGAUAUUUUUUCAAACUUUGGAGAAUAUCGGGACUUUUCUUUGUUUGUCUAUACAUAAAUGGUAAGAGAAAGUGUUCCACUUAUCUCCUCAAACACUAGUUGUGGUUUCAGUUUAAAUAUUUAGUUUAGAAAAAGUGAUUUUGGCCCUGUUAAAGAAAGUUGCAUUCUUUUUUUUUUUACUUCGAUCACGAGUUAUUAAGGUUUAACUAAAAUUCCUACAUAAAAACCCUAACAUUUAAAAACCAUUAAAUUAAAGCUUUAAUUAAUAUUCCCUCCGUUUCUUAAUGAUAGACUUUCUAAAAAAACGCUUGUUUCAUAAAGAUGUAUUUUUUGUGUUUUCUAUGAAAAAAUUGUAAAUUUUAAGAAAAUUAAUUGACUUUAUUGAAUUACUAUUGGUUAAAAGUUAUUGAAAAUUGAAAAUUAUAGAAAAUGAUAUAUUUAUUAUGGUAGUUUAAUGUGUUUUCUUAAUAUGUGUGAAAAUACUAAAAAUUUUAUCUUUUAAAAACGGAAGGAGUAUGUUCUCGAGAGACGGAGAUAUUUAAUUAGAUGAGAGAUUAAAUCAACGGUUGGAAAUCAAUGAUGAGAGGAGAGAUAGCGCGUGGGAUAUGAGUUGAUGGCAACCCUAAACUGAUAGUGUAGGACAAUGGAUGAUAUUCAACACGUGUCAAUCUCUGGAUGGUAAGCUUUGAUAAAUCCACCUGAUUUUUAUUUAUUUUAAUUGUUUUACUUUUCUAAUCGAGUUCAUUGAAUCAUGUGACCUAACCUUAACUAGGUGAAGCCCUGUACGAUUUUCUCAACUUACUGAAUUACCCCUGUGAAUUGUGAUUGGUGAAAAAUGUAGAGUAAAACAUACCCUUUUUAUGUUUCGUUAAUGGUGUGAUGAUAUUUAAUGGGCUUAUUCUUGUAAUAGCCAGAGAGAUAGACUGAGUGAAGUAACAUUGAUUUUGACAUAAUUCAAUGUCAAACAUUUGUAUCUUAUGCUACAAAAAAAUAGGGGGAUUCUGAUGGCCGAAAUCGUCGGAAAUUCGUCGGAAUAGACUGAUUCCGACGAAUUUCCGACGAACCCGUCCGUCGGUACUGUUUCGUCGGAAAAAAAAAUUCGUCGGAAUUUCGUCAGAACUUCCGACGACUUUCUGACGAAUACCGAGAAACGUCAUUCUGACGAACUUCCGACGAUAUUACGAUGCGGAUACACGAGACCAGAGUUCAUCUGAAAAACUACGUACCGACGGAGAAAAUAGAUGCCAGAGAAGUCGUUUUCUUCAUUUUUUUUUUUUUUUUGGCUAUUUGACUUUUACGGCUAGUUUGAAAUCAUAUAACACGAGUUUUAAAAGAAGAAAACAUGUUGUGCCUCCAAAUUGUUACACCAAAUAAGAAAAGUUAAUAAUGCAUCUGCACUUUACAGACUUGUCUAUUCAAUCCAGCUCUUAGGGUUGAAAAACAACAAAUUUGUAAUAGUGAAAUUAAUUAAGGGGAUUAACAAUUUUCCUGACAAUUUGUUGAUAGUUAACAAAUAUUUUAAUGACAAUUAUUGAAAGGUUCAUUAUAGAGAAGUAAUAUAUAUUGCAAAAUCUUUGAAAUUUUUAUUAGUCAUGAUCAGUUUUACUAAGAUUUUGAUUGGUAGAGCAUUAGCUAGCAGUAUGCUAUAGAAGUAAUAUGUUGCAGGAGUUGUAUGCUUUUGUUAAACAAUUUAAUAGGAUGAUUGGUAAAACAAUAUGAAUAUGCUAUUUAAAAUUAUUAUAAAAAUUAGUAUAUACUGCGGGAGCUGUAUGCUUUUCUAACAAUUAUUGAUCGGAGAAUAUAGAUCAUGAUGCUAAUGAUAAUGCUCUACUAUCAAGACCUAACUGUACGUACACUCUAAGAAUCAGAUACUUCAUUUACUGUAAUAUAUAUACUUCUAAAUUCUCUUAGCAGUUAGCUCUCUUCUUGUAAUCAAUUUUUUUUAUUUUUCUGAUUUUGGUUUGGCUAAGGUCGGUCUACUCAAAUUUUUGGCAAGUUCGUGGAAGAUGAGUCCUCCUUCGGCCUUGCAUAAGAAGUAGCCCAGAUAAUAUCAGGUGUGGGCCUAUAUAUAGAUAAAUUAACCAAUGGGUUUCUCCUUAACAGGCAGUUAACAACUUCAUGUUGAUUUUCAUACAUACAAGAGCCUCUGGAUAAGCUAGUGUGAGUUAUACUCUCUGUCCACUAUACAUUAUAGCUCAUUGUUAAAAUAUAUAUUUAAACAAAAGUCUUACCCUUACUACAUAACACAAAAUGGGAAUUAGAAAGAUUUUGGAGCUGGAAGCAUAUACUCUCUACUUAACACAAAUUUAUCUAUAGAAGCCAUAAGGGAAUAUGUAUACAUGUACUCAAGAUUUUAGUGUGACGGUGUUGGAGCAUUGGGAGUAAUGUGUCCAAAAAAAUUAUUUAAUUGUAGAAGGGCAUAAUAAACAUUACACACACACAAAUGCAUACAAGACAGAGAUAUAUAGAGCGAGGCAAUCAUCAUGUAGCUAAGAGGGGAAGAGAGUUUUCAUAUAAAAUGUCAAAAAUUGAAGAAAGAUUCAAAUAGAGCUAGUGUCAUAAGGUAACCAACCCAACAUGUAAUUAAUUGCACUUGGUCCUGCUUCCAUUCCAUGAUUUUGAUGCCCCUGAUACCUGCUACACCGUUACGGAAAGUUUUACUUAAGAUAUGCUAAAAAGAAAAUAUUUUACGUACACAGCACAAACUAGCUAGAGAUAAAAAAAUUGAUUAAUCACAUAAAGAGUGAGUUAGUUAC
RNAcentral lists this long non-coding RNA (5421 nucleotides) under Brassica napus (rape). RNAcentral describes it as "long non-coding RNA (BNAP_LNC019931)". The record is from RNAcentral. Lineage: Eukaryota; Viridiplantae; Streptophyta; Magnoliopsida; Brassicales; Brassicaceae.